CCCUACUGCUAUCGGGGUGGGACUAAGACAUGCGAGUUGUGCGUCUCUAAGCUAUGGUAGAGACGCAGCGUACGGCUCAGUAACACGUGGCUAACCUACCCUUAGGACGGGGACAACCCCGGGAAACUGGGGCUAAUACCCGAUAGGUGUGGAUUCCUGGAAUGGUGCCAUGCCUAAACGUAAGCACAUCCAUGUUUGUGUGCACGCCCGAGGAUGGGGCUGCGGCCGAUCAGGCAGUUGGUGAGGUAACGGCUCACCAAACCUUUGACCGGUACGGGCCAUGAGAGUGGUAGCCCGGAGAUGGGCACUGAGACAAGGGCCCAGGCCCUACGGGGCGCAGCAGGCGCGAAACCUCCACAAUUCACGCAAGUGAGAUGGGGUUACCUCGAGUGCCAUCUGAAGAAGGUGGCUUUUCCAUGGUGUAAUGAGCCGUGGGAAUAAGGGGGGGGCAAGACUGGUGUCAGCCGCCGCGGUAACACCAGCCCCCCGAGUGGUGGGGAUGUUUAUUUGGCCUAAAACGUCCGUAGCCAGUUCGGUAAAUCUCUCGUUAAAUCCAGCGUCCUAAGCGUUGGGCUGCGAGAAAGACUGCCGAACUAGAGGGUGGGAGAGGUCAGCGGUAUUUCUGGGGUAGGGGCGAAAUCCAUUGAUCCCAGGAGGACCACCAGUGGCGAAGGCUGCUGACUAGAACACGCCUGACGGUGAGGGACGAAAGCUGGGGUAGCGAAUCGGAUUAGAUACCCGAGUAGUCCCAGCCGUAAACGAUGCAGGCUAGGUGUUGGGUUGGCCACGCGCUGACUCAGUGCCACAGGGAAGCCAUUAAGCCUGCUGCCUGGGGAGUACGGUCGCAAGGCUGAAACUUAAAGGAAUUGGCGGGAGAGCACCACCAGGCGUGAAGCCUGCGGUUU
RNAcentral lists this ribosomal RNA (905 nucleotides) under uncultured archaeon. Its description in RNAcentral is "bacterial SSU rRNA". It matches the Rfam family "Archaeal small subunit ribosomal RNA", at positions 21 to 903 of the family's 1478-position model. The record is from RNAcentral.